CAAAUACUCUCUCCGUCCGAAAAUACUUGUUCAAGAAAUGAAUAAAAAUGAAUUUAUCAAGAACUAAAAUACAUCUAGCUAUAUUAAUUUCUUCAACAAGUAUUUCCAAAUGGAGGGAGUAUCAG
Molecule: non-coding RNA, 125 nt
Organism: Triticum aestivum (bread wheat)
Lineage: Eukaryota; Viridiplantae; Streptophyta; Magnoliopsida; Poales; Poaceae
Source: Rfam